Molecule: ribosomal RNA, 773 nt
Filed under: uncultured Neocallimastigales
Lineage: Eukaryota; Fungi; Neocallimastigomycota; Neocallimastigomycetes; Neocallimastigales
Description: partial large subunit ribosomal RNA
Rfam family: Eukaryotic large subunit ribosomal RNA
Source: RNAcentral
UCAGACGAUGCGUCAUGCAUAUCAAUAAGCGGAGGAAAAGAAACUAACAAGGAUUCCCCUAGUAACGGCGAGUGAAGCGGGAAGAGCUCAAAUUUGAAAUCUUAAAGGGUUUCCCUUUACGAAUUGUAGUUUAAAGAAGUGUUUUCUGUUGAGGUUUUGGUAAAAGUUCUUUGGAAUAGGACAUCAUAGAGGGUGAGAAUCCCGUAUUUGACCUUUACUUUCAACUUUGUGAUACACUUUCAAAGAGUCGGAUUGUUUGGGAAUGCAGUCCAAAAUGGGUGGUAAAUUUCAUCUAAAGCUAAGUAUUGGCGAGAGACCGAUAGCGAACAAGUACCGUGAGGGAAAGAUGAAAAGAACUUUGAAAAGAGAGUUAAACAGUACGUGAAAUUGUCAAAAGGGAAGCGUUUGACACCAGUGUUGUUUUUCUGAAAAUCAAUUAAAGAACUGCUUAUGCUAAGCUGUUUAGACUUUAUCAGCUAUCUGUUUAGUUUUGAGCUUUUCUUAAUGCACUUUUCAGUUAACAAGUCAACAUCAAUCUCUUUUGUUGUAAAAAAGCUUGAGGAAGGUGGCUUGAGAUUCGUCUUAAGUGUUUAUAGCCUCUUGCCUAUGCAGUCGGAGAGAUUGAGGUCUGCAGCGUAGAUCCUUCGGGGCUAAAUGCAUUUGUGCUAAGUUAUAGCAUUUUAUAGACAACUUGUUGACUAUGAUUUGUCUUGUAGCUUACUCGCUUAUGUUAUUUUACCUACGCUUAGGAUGUUGAAGUCAUCGUAUCGCGC